RNAcentral lists this long non-coding RNA (948 nucleotides) under Acromyrmex echinatior (Panamanian leafcutter ant). Its description in RNAcentral is "uncharacterized LOC105154000, transcript variant X1". The record is from RNAcentral. Lineage: Eukaryota; Metazoa; Arthropoda; Insecta; Hymenoptera; Formicidae.
CCAACCUUGACUUCGGCGUGUAGUAAAUAAACUGUACAACGAGGACUCGACGAUUUCUCUCGAAGCUCUAUGUUUUUGUCCCCUCUCCGUCUGUACGAGAUUACUAUCUCUCUCUCUCUUCGAGCCGACAACAGUUUUCCCUCUUUCCUUCUUUCAAUGUUUACUUGAGUCGAUGGGAUCCCAUGUAAACAAUGAACAGCCCGAGAUAAGGAGAAAAGAGAGAGAACGCUGCACUAUUCUUUCAGAAAAACUUCCUUUUCUCGUACCAGGAAAAUUUCAGCGGGGAGACUUUAGAAUUCCUUUUUUCACGAAGAAAUAUGGGUUGUCUUCCGAUUAGCGAUUCGUUCUCGUCUGAAUCACAAUUGUCGCCGAGACACGUCAACAAUACACAGUGACGCGAUGUAUGUGUAUAUAUAUAUAUAUAUAAUAUAUAUAUAUAUGUGUGUAUUAUACAAAGCACGACGGAGAAUCCGCGUACAGGCGCGUCCGUGCGUAAUCGGACGGGUAUGAUUCACACUGGGCAAAUACGCGGGGCGGCGCGUUAUAUCCUCUCCUCGUUCGCUUUCUCGAAACGUCGUCGGCGGAACGCGGCACGACGAGGAGUCGCGCGCGUCGAAGCGCGGCUGGCUGUUGAAUGAACUGCCCCGCGCGCGAGUACGAGCGUGCGGCUAAUCUACGCGCAUAAACAAACGCACACCAGCGCGCCGCGCAGUAGCAGCUAAGCGUGGCGAUUUUGAACGAAAUUUGAGACAAAGAGGAGGACGGGGAGCGAAGAGAAAGACGAAAGGGCAACACGUCGAUGAGGAAACAGGAGAGGAAGGGAGAAGGGAGGGAAGAAAGGAGGGAGGAGAACAUCGAUGCGCACGGAUCAAGGUUACACUCGGACACCUCCUCUACGUCAUCCCUUGUCGUGUUUAUACGCGCGUGCGCUCAGCGCGCACGCACACA